Long non-coding RNA from Scylla paramamosain (green mud crab), 464 nucleotides. RefSeq lists it as uncharacterized. The record is from RefSeq and is a predicted model, not a curated record. Lineage: Eukaryota; Metazoa; Arthropoda; Malacostraca; Decapoda; Portunidae. The transcript has 3 exons.
GUCCUCCAGCAGUCCAGGAUUCUUCACCCGCGACCCUGCCAAGUCAUCAGCCUGUAGGGGAUGGAGGAACAGAGAACAAAAGGAAGAUUUCAACUUCAAACGGCAAACCAGAGGUACAGAAGUUUUCUCCCCGGAAGACGCAACCAAGGGUAAGGAAAAAAAGUUUAUUUUGUAAACUGAACUUGUACAUAGAGAAAAGAAAUUAACUAGAAAAAAAAAUACACCUUAGGCAACAUUUCCUUCAUAAUAUACUAAUUUACAAGAAAUCAGUAGAAAAUAUAGGAAAAAAAAACAAGGAAAUAAACAAACAUAAUUUUCUACACAACAACAACAACAACAACAACAACAACAACAACAACAACAACAACAACAACAAUAACAUCAACAACUCCUCCGCCUAUCAUGUACACCCAUACUCAAUAAUAACUCAAAUGGCCCUUUAAAUAUCCCCUUUAAAUGUCUCU